Long non-coding RNA from Carya illinoinensis, 232 nucleotides. RefSeq lists it as uncharacterized. The transcript has 3 exons. The record is from RefSeq and is a predicted model, not a curated record. NCBI's taxonomy places the organism in Eukaryota, Viridiplantae, Streptophyta, Magnoliopsida, Fagales, Juglandaceae.
UCGGGAGAGUAGGAAGAGGCUGGUUAUUAACCACACAGCAGGUCGCAAAUCCUUUGUGCGGAUUCUUGAAGAGAAGAGGGCUGAAUCGGCGAAUAUGGUAGACUUCUUCAAGGAAACCCAUUGGUCAAAGAAGAAAAAUAACUUUUUAACACCAGCCACCGAAGACAAAUAUAAGGACAUGGUUUCGAAGUUGGAUACUCUAGAACCAGAGCAACGAACUGACGAAAGGAUA